This 253-nucleotide ribosomal RNA is filed under the name uncultured bacterium. RNAcentral's name for it is "partial 16S ribosomal RNA". It matches the Rfam family "Bacterial small subunit ribosomal RNA", at positions 524 to 776 of the family's 1533-position model. The record is from RNAcentral.
UACGUAGGGUGCGAGCGUUGUCCGGAAUUACUGGGCGUAAAGAGCUCGUAGGUGGUUUGUCGCGUUGUUCGUGAAAACUCACAGCUCAACUGUGGGCGUGCGGGCGAUACGGGCAGACUGGAGUACUGCAGGGGAGACUGGAAUUCCUGGUGUAGCGGUGGAAUGCGCAGAUAUCAGGAGGAACACCGGUGGCGAAGGCGGGUCUCUGGGCAGUAACUGACGCUGAGGAACGAAAGCGUGGGGAGCGAACAGG